UGGGGAAUUUUGGACAAUGGGCGAAAGCCUGAUCCAGCAAUGCCGCGUGUGUGAAGAAGGCCUUCGGGUUGUAAAGCACUUUUGUCCGGAAAGAAAUCCUCUGGGUUAAUACCUCGGGGGGAUGACGGUACCGGAAGAAUAAGCACCGGCUAACUACGUGCCAGCAGCCGCGGUAAUACGUAGGGUGCAAGCGUUAAUCGGAAUUACUGGGCGUAAAGCGUGCGCAGGCGGUUUUGUAAGACGGAUGUGAAAUCCCCGGGCUUAACCUGGGAACUGCAUUCGUGACUGCAAGGCUAGAGUAUGGCAGAGGGGGGUAGAAUUCCACGUGUAGCAGUGAAAUGCGUAGAGAUGUGGAGGAAUACCGAUGGCGAAGGCAGCCCCCUGGGCCAAUACUGACGCUCAUGCACGAAAGCGUGGGGAGCAAACAGGAUUAGAUACCCUGGUAGUCCACGCCCUAAACGAUGUCAACUAGUUGUUGGGGAUUCAUUUCCUUAGUAACGUAGCUAACGCGUGAAGUUGACCGCCUGGGGAGUACGGUCGCAAGAUUGAAACUUAAAUGAAUUGAUGGGGUCAUAGCUGUUUCCU
Molecule: ribosomal RNA, 585 nt
Filed under: uncultured bacterium
Lineage: Bacteria
Description: partial 16S ribosomal RNA
Rfam family: Bacterial small subunit ribosomal RNA
Source: RNAcentral